UGGGGAUUAGCCAAGCGGUAAGGCAACGGACUUUGACUCCGUCACGCCUAGGUUCGAAUCCUAGAUCCCCAG
Molecule: non-coding RNA, 72 nt
Organism: Paenibacillus sp.
Lineage: Bacteria; Bacillati; Bacillota; Bacilli; Caryophanales; Paenibacillaceae
Source: Rfam